GGCGACCGGCGCACGGGUGAGUAACACGUAUCCAACCUGCCCUUUACUCGGGGAUAGCCUUUCGAAAGAAAGAUUAAUACCCGAUGGCAUAAUGAUUCCGCAUGGUUUCAUUAUUAAAGGAUUCCGGUAAAGGAUGGGGAUGCGUUCCAUUAGGUUGUUGGUGAGGUAACGGCCCACCAAGCCUUCGAUGGAUAGGGGUUCUGAGAGGAAGGUCCCCCACAUUGGAACUGAGACACGGUCCAAACUCCUACGGGAGGCAGCAUG
This 264-nucleotide ribosomal RNA is filed under the name uncultured bacterium. Its description in RNAcentral is "partial 16S ribosomal RNA". It matches the Rfam family "Bacterial small subunit ribosomal RNA", at positions 90 to 353 of the family's 1533-position model. The record is from RNAcentral.